RNAcentral lists this long non-coding RNA (946 nucleotides) under Brachypodium distachyon (stiff brome). RNAcentral describes it as "long non-coding RNA (BDIS_LNC005316)". Lineage: Eukaryota; Viridiplantae; Streptophyta; Magnoliopsida; Poales; Poaceae. The record is from RNAcentral.
UGGGUGCUAGUAAGACCAUUAUUUUUAUUUUUAUUUCUGAUGAACGAAGAGGAUAUAGCCGUUUUGCAUUGCCAUGGCCCAUCUCCUGAAUUAGUAAAUAAUGUGUCCGAGUCCGACAUAUCAGUUAGUACACUAUAAAUAUAUAUAUAUAUCUGGCUUUUUGCCUCUUUUUCUCUUUUAUUUAUGAUAGGAUUUAUGAGGCGGCCGUGGGUCCCUGUUUUGAUUACAUCCCAUGCAAAAAAUCCUACCCAAUACUAGCUGAGUGAGAGAUGGAUCUGAAUUGCUUCAAAGGUAUACAAAACGCACAUUGAUUUCCUCUGCAAUGCAAUGCAAUGCAAUUGGCCAAUUGCAUGGUCCACUAUACUAGUAGUACAUACAGGAAACACAAAGGCUGACAGAUAUAUCAGCCACAAUAACUCAACUAUAAUCAUACGACGCAAUGAUUCUUCAAAAAGAAGAAUGAAAAAAAAAGAUGACAUGCCCCAUUUGCAAAUUCAUAGCACAUUACUUAAGGCCCCACCCCACUCGAAUUAUAUUAGUUAUUAUUGUUGAUACUGUGCAUCGUCAGCCAGUUGAUUAGGUUAUUUUUGUUGAAAUUAAUUCACCUGGACUGAAAUUCUUAACUUACCACAGAUGCUCACGUUUUAGCAGUAUAGUAACGAUACAAGCAGUGUGCCCAUCGACACUAAUAACGAUAACGUCGCAUCUGCUUUUUUUAAGAGAAAAAAAAAGAGAAAAUAUUUUUAUUCCUAUGCUGUGUACUCAAAAAGGAAAAGGUGGGUGGGUGCAAAGGGGGGAAAGGUGGGGGACACACACGAUUCAUCCGGAGACGAGAGAGGAAGAAACACGGUUUAGUUUCGUGUUGCCUCUGGUUGUGGCUCCCUGUGGCUUGCCCUGCUGUCAUCCGGUUGCCCUCCCUGCCUCAAGAAACAGAGUUUUAGUUACA